This 324-nucleotide ribosomal RNA is filed under the name uncultured eukaryote. RNAcentral describes it as "partial 18S ribosomal RNA". It matches the Rfam family "Eukaryotic small subunit ribosomal RNA", at positions 1470 to 1796 of the family's 1831-position model. The record is from RNAcentral.
CCCUUAGAUGUUCUGGGCCGCACGCGCGCUACACUGAUGCAUUCAACGAGUUUCUUCCUGGUCCGAGAGGAAUGGGUAACCUUUUGAAAGUGCAUCGUGAUAGGGAUAGACUAUUGCAAUUAUUGGCCUUCAACGAGGAAUUCCUAGUAGACGUAGUUCAUCAGACUGCAUCGAUUACGUCCCUGCCCUUUGUACACACCGCCCGUCGCUCCUACCGAUUGAAUGCUCAGGUGAGCCAUUCGGACUUUCAUCAUGCUGGUUUCCAGUUUUGAUGAAGGAAAGUCUUGCGAACCUUAUCAUUUAGAGGAAGGAGAAGUCGUAACA